GCGGUGGAGCAUGUGGUUUAAUUCGUACGCAACGCGAAGAACCUUACCAGGGCUUGACAUCCCCUGACCGCGUAUGAAAGACGUUUUCACCCUCGGGUGACAGGGAGACAGGUGGUGCAUGGUUGUCGUCAGCUCGUGUUGUGAGAUGUCGGGUUAAGUCCCUUAACGAGCGAAACCCUUGCCGUUAGUUACCAGCGGGUCAUGCCGGGAACUCUAGCGGGACUGCCGGUGUUAAACCGGAGGAAGGUGGGGAUGACGUCAAGUCAUCAUGGCCUUUAUGCCUAGGGCAUCACACGUGCUACAAUGGCCGGGACAAAGCGACGCAAGACCGCGAGGUGGAGCUAAUCGCAAAAACCCGGCCCCAGUUCGGAUUGCAGGCUGGCAACUCGCCUGCAUGAAGUUGGAAUCGCUAGUAAUCGUGAAUCAGCUAUGUCACGGUGAAUGUGUUCCUGAGCCUU
RNAcentral lists this ribosomal RNA (458 nucleotides) under uncultured Phycisphaerae bacterium. RNAcentral's name for it is "bacterial SSU rRNA". It matches the Rfam family "Bacterial small subunit ribosomal RNA", at positions 929 to 1382 of the family's 1533-position model. The record is from RNAcentral. Lineage: Bacteria; Pseudomonadati; Planctomycetota; Phycisphaerae.